RNAcentral lists this ribosomal RNA (510 nucleotides) under uncultured bacterium. Its description in RNAcentral is "bacterial SSU rRNA". It matches the Rfam family "Bacterial small subunit ribosomal RNA", at positions 32 to 517 of the family's 1533-position model. The record is from RNAcentral.
AAUCAACGCUGGCGGCGUGCCUCAGACAUGCAAGUCGAACGCGAAAGUCCCCUUCGGGGGACAAGUAGAGUGGCGCACGGGUGAGUAACACGUAGGUAAUCUACCUUUGGAUGGGGAAUAACAACCGGAAACGGUUGCUAAUACCGCAUAAUGCAGCGGCACCUAAUGGUGACAGUUGUUAAAGCGGGGGAUCGAAAGACCUCGCGUCUAAAGAGGAGCCUGCGGCGGAUUAGCUAGUUGGUAAGGAAUGGCUUACCAAGGCUACGAUCCGUAACCGGCCUGAGAGGGCGGUCGGUCACACUGACACUGACAUACGGGUCAGACUCCUACGGGAGGCAGCAGUCGGGAAUUUUGGGCAAUGGGCGAAAGCCUGACCCAGCAACGCCGCGUGAAGGAUGAAAUCCCUCGGGAUGUAAACUUCGCAAGAACGGGAAGAAUAAGUAGGGGACAACUACCCCCUAUGAUGACGGUACCGUUUGUAAGCUCCGGCUAACUCCGUGCCAGCAGCCG